RNAcentral lists this long non-coding RNA (1080 nucleotides) under Ananas comosus (pineapple). Its description in RNAcentral is "long non-coding RNA (ACOM_LNC017095)". Lineage: Eukaryota; Viridiplantae; Streptophyta; Magnoliopsida; Poales; Bromeliaceae. The record is from RNAcentral.
GAAAUUUUAUUUUCAGUAUGAAAAAUAUUUUUUCAUUUAAGUACGAAGAACUCCAUAUUUUUAAUAACAUACAAGAACUCCUCUCUCUCUUUAUAUAUAUAUAUAUAUAUAUAUAUAUAUAUAUAUAUAUAUAUAUAUAUAUAUAUAUAUAUAGAGUUGAGUUGGAAUACUAUCGAUAGCAAACGGGCUCCGUUGCCAUCCAUUUGCUUUCGAUGAUGGAGCCUCCAAAUCGACGAUCGGCACGGUUAAAAAUAAUCUAUACCACUUGAAGUAUUUAGAAAUCAAAUUUCAUACUUUUCCGAUACUAUUUUCUUGUCCAUCAAGUGGGCGUAAAAAUGAAUGGCUGAAAAUGAAUAUCCUCUAAAAAGUGAUGAUACAAAUUUUGUAAUCAUGAUCGAGAGUAUAGAUCUUGUUUUAAAUAAUUUAAAGAAAUUUCUAACCAAAAUUCAAUUGAUUAGAAUAGCUUUACACCAUUAAACGAGAAAAGCCCUCAUAUCAACCAUUAAAAUUACUAAUUUUGAAACCCUUUGAUCAUUAGGUAAAUGAUGUCGAAAAGAUUUGAAAUUUAAUUUCUAAAUACUUCAAGUGAUAUAGAUCAUAUUCAACGAUGUCGAUUGUCGAUUUGAAAGCUCCAUCAUCGAAAACAAAUGGAUGGCAACGGAGCCCGUUUGCUACCGAUAGCAUUCCAGCUCAACAAGAUCUAUAUGAGUCGAGCUGGAAUACUAUCGGUAGCAAACGGGCUCUGUUGCCACCCAUUUGUUUUCAACGAUGGAGCCUCCAAAUCGACGAUCGGCACCGUUAAAAAUGAUCUAUACCACUUGAAGUAUUUAGAAAUCAAAUUUCAUACUUUUUCGAUACUGUUUUCUUGUCCAUUAAGUGGGCGUAAAAAUGAAUGGCUGAAAAUGAAUAUCCUCUAAAAAGUGAUGAUACAAAUUUUGUAAUCAUAAUCGAGAGUAUAGAUCUUGUUCUAAAUAAUUUAAAGAAUUUUCUAACCAAAAUUCAAUUGAUUUGAAUAGCUUUACACCGUUAGUGACGUGACCUGUAAUUAUUAUUUUAUUUUUUGGAAUAAACUUUUAAUGA